This 492-nucleotide ribosomal RNA is filed under the name uncultured bacterium. RNAcentral's name for it is "partial 16S ribosomal RNA". It matches the Rfam family "Bacterial small subunit ribosomal RNA", at positions 29 to 507 of the family's 1533-position model. The record is from RNAcentral.
AGUGAACGCUGGCGGUAGGCCUAACACAUGCAAGUCGAACGGCAGCACAGUAAGAGCUUGCUCUUACGGGUGGCGAGUGGCGGACGGGUGAGGAAUACAUCGGAAUCUACUUUUUCGUGGGGGAUAACGUAGGGAAACUUACGCUAAUACCGCAUACGACCUACGGGUGAAAGCAGGGGAUCUUCGGACCUUGCGCGAUUGAAUGAGCCGAUGUCGGAUUAGCUAGUUGGCGGGGUAAAGGCCCACCAAGGCGACGAUCCGUAGCUGUUCUGAGAGGAUAAGCAGCCACACAGGGAAAGAGACACGGGGCAGACUCCUACGGGAGGCAGAAGUGGGGGAAAUUUGACAAAAGGCGCAAGCCUGAGAUAGACACACCGCGUGGGUGAAAAAGGGCUUCGGGUUGUAAAAACCUUUUGUGGGGGAAGAAAAGAAGAAGGUUAAAACCCCCCGGUUCUGACGGGACACAAAGAAUAAAAACCGGCUAAAUUCGUG